This is a long non-coding RNA of Papilio polytes (common Mormon), 1234 nucleotides long. RefSeq lists it as uncharacterized. The record is from RefSeq and is a predicted model, not a curated record. NCBI's taxonomy places the organism in Eukaryota, Metazoa, Arthropoda, Insecta, Lepidoptera, Papilionidae. The transcript has 4 exons.
AUCAACAUCAGGCGCGCCUUCCUUUUGCCUUCCUUAGUAUUCCUAUUUAAAUAAGAACUAGCUUUUUAUUAAAACCAUCUUCCGGAAGUUGACACCAAAAUGUCAUGACAUGAACUUUCAAUCGCGGCGGCAAUCUGAGGACCGGUUCGACAAGUUGUGAAGCGACUCGCAAAUUACCUCACAAUCCUCUUAGAGUAAUUUAAUUGCUAGACGAGAAGGAGUAAUAUUAAAAUCUCUACAAAAUAUUAUUUUUAAAAUAAUUUAAGUUUGAAAUGCCAGGAUGUUGCAGACAAAUAAAAUCUUUGAACUUUAGAUGACUAACCAACAAAUAAUGCAACCUUUGAUACUGCGAAAGAUUUUAGAACGAGACGCAGCAAGGUUGUGUGCUUUUCCUGCUGAAGGUCAUAGACCAGUUCCGCAACAUUUCUCUGUGGAUAUCGAACAAAGGUUGUAGCUGUAUACUCGCUCCCUUCACUCGUGGCGCCUUAUGCAGCACUAGUUGACAGGAAGCUGGUCCAAGGCGAGCGCGAUAAUUUCUGAAGACUGGUGUAUCCUUAUUUACGAGCACAAUCUCUUGUUCUUAUAUUUGUUGGGCUUUUAGAUUAUUCUUUAUUAGGUAAUACUCUAUUAAAUAAAUUAAGCAGUAGGAAAUUAAAAAAGAAGUCCUUUACCAUGCUCGGGAAAGAUAUUAACCAAAUGCUCCUAACUUACACAUGCGAAUCUCAGAAAAACUUACUAAAUGAUGAUGUUACUUUAUAUAAAUUUUUCAUUAAAUUAAGAUUACGUGUGACAUUUUAUUGAUAUAGCUAUUACAUAUAUUUACUUCGUAAAUAUCUUCGAAUUACAAUGGAUCGUGGAUAUUUAGAAAAGUUUCAUUCUAAUGGCUAGUUUUGCCAAGAGGUUUUUGAAAUUGAUUUUUUCCGUUUGCAUUUUAUCUUCCGUGAAAAAUCUUUAUAUAGUUAGUAGCCUCACAAGUAUUAUUUAUCUCACGUGAACACAUUCAACAAGACUUUGUAAAGGAAAUGAUGUAAUGAACUUAAAGAGAAAGAUGAGUAACCACAAAAUUAUGUAUACCGUUAGUUCGCUUGGAAAUAACAUUACAUUUAUCCGUAGGGUAAUACUUUACAACAGCUGUACAAAAUUGUACAAAAACAUAGUCAUCUCUUUUAAUGUCUUUGAAAACUACUGAGAUGACAAUUUUUUUUUUGUGUAGGUGAAUUGCAAGCUGAUAAAU